Non-coding RNA from Chiloscyllium plagiosum (whitespotted bambooshark), 1152 nucleotides. NCBI's taxonomy places the organism in Eukaryota, Metazoa, Chordata, Chondrichthyes, Orectolobiformes, Hemiscylliidae. The record is from RefSeq and is a predicted model, not a curated record.
GGGAUCUCGCAAGAGGAAUUAGACCAGUAUGUAGUGUUUGCAAGUUUUAAUGUGUGUGGGUCCUUUCCUUUCUUCCUUCCUUUCAGGUUUAACUAGCUAAUACUGCUCCUGGUAUGUACCACACAGUAUUAUUGAAGGUUUUAGCAUCGCUGGAAAGGCUAGCAUUUGUUUCUCAUCACUAACUACCCUUGAAGUUUCUGGUGAAUCAUUCUCUCACUCAACAUGAAUUUCAGUAUUGAAGUUCACCACAGUGCUGUCAGAGGAGGAUUUUGAUCCAGCAAGUAUGAAGAAAUAGUACAAGUCAAGAUAGUAUGCGGCUUGAGGAUAAACUUCAAGACAAGUGAUAUUCCAAUUACUCCAGCAGCUCUUGCCCUUCUAGGUGAAUAAGGACUUGGAUUUGAAAGUUGCUCUUGAAUCAGCCAGGGAAGGAUGGGACCAAUCGGGGAUGAAAAAGAAAAUCUAUACAUGGAAGAAAGAAUAUGAUUGAGGUACUACAUGAGUGCUUUGAACCUGUCUUUACCAAGUAAGACGUUGCUGAAGUUAUCAUAGCGGAAGAGGUGAGAGCUGAAACUCUGGAUGGGCUAAAGAUUGAGAAGGAAGAGGAUUUGAAAGGUUGGCUGUACUUUUAGUUUGAAAGUCACCAGGUAUGGAUGGAAUGCACCAUCAGCUAUUAUGGAAAAGAAGGAAUUUGGGAAGCCCCUGGCAAGGAUUGGAGAAUUACAAACACCCUUCAUCAAACUACAGAACAAAAGGUCUUAUCUCAAAACCAGGCAGCUUUCAUUCUUCUCGGUAUUUUGGUCGUCUUUUCUCCUUCUUGGGGAUCCUGCUUCACAGGUUACUGAUUGAUAAAGAUGCAAGAUCCAUGUUUCCACGUCACCCAUUUUAAACUAAUACAAAAGCUAUUUAUGUGGGGUGCAGAACAACAGCUGAUCCUCAACAUUCAGAUUAGUGCCUGAUGGCAAAAGUAAAACUCUAUUUUUGUUUUCACCAUUGCAGUGAUUUUGUCUUUUUUAAAAUUAGCCUGUCUGUCAUGCAAAGAAAAGAAACCUGCAUUCACGUAGCCCCUUUCAAGCCCUUCAGCAUCAAGAUGAUAUUUUAAAUUUGUUCUCUACUGAUUUAUAUAUAUUUUAGUUAAAAUGCUUUGAUUAAAAU